GUUGGGUUAAGUCCCGUAACGAGCGCAACCCUUGUCCUUAGUUACCAGCACGUUAUGUGGGCACUCUAAGGAGACUGCCGGUGACAAACCGGAGGAAGGUGGGGAUGACGUCAAGUCAUCAUGGCCCUUACGGCCUGGGCUACACACGUGCUACAAUGGUCGGUACAAAGGGUUGCCAAGCCGCGAGGUGGAGCUAAUCCCAUAAAACCGAUCGUAGUCCGGAUCGCAGUCUGCAACUCGACUGCGUGAAGUCGGAAUCGCUAGUAAUCGUGAAUCAGAAUGUCACGGUGAAUACGUUCCCGGGCCUU
RNAcentral lists this ribosomal RNA (308 nucleotides) under uncultured Pseudomonas sp. RNAcentral's name for it is "bacterial SSU rRNA". It matches the Rfam family "Bacterial small subunit ribosomal RNA", at positions 1074 to 1382 of the family's 1533-position model. The record is from RNAcentral. Lineage: Bacteria; Pseudomonadati; Pseudomonadota; Gammaproteobacteria; Pseudomonadales; Pseudomonadaceae.